RNAcentral lists this ribosomal RNA (1237 nucleotides) under metagenome. RNAcentral's name for it is "bacterial LSU rRNA". It matches the Rfam family "Bacterial large subunit ribosomal RNA", at positions 1564 to 2810 of the family's 2925-position model. The record is from RNAcentral.
UGGAUACGAGAUGCUACGGCAUCGAAGCAGUCUAUGUCAUACUUCCAAGAAAAGCUUGCACUGUCAUAAACAAAUAAUGCCUGUACCAUAACCGACACAGGUGGGUAGGUAGAGUAUACUGAGGGGCGCGAGAUAACUCUCUCUAAGGAACUCGGCAAAAUGACUCCGUAACUUCGGGAGAAGGAGUGCCUUAUUUUAUAAGGUUGCAAUAACAAGAUCCAAGCAACUGUUUACCAAAAACACAGGUCUCCGCUAAGUCGUAAGACGAUGUAUGGGGGCUGACGCCUGCCCAGUGCCAGAAGGUUAAAGAAGUUGGUUAGCAUUAGCGAAGCUGAUAACUGAAGCCCUGGUGAACGGCGGCCGUAACUAUAACGGUCCUAAGGUAGCGAAAUUCCUUGUCGGGUAAGUUCCGACCCGCACGAAAGGCGUAAUGAUUUGGAUACUGUCUCGGAGAGGGGCUCGGUGAAAUAGACUUGUCUGUGAAGAUGCGGACUACCUGCACCAGGACAGAAAGACCCUAUGAAGCUUUACUGUAACUUGAGAUUGAAAUUGGACUUUAUCUGCGCAGUAUAGGUAGGAGACGUUGAAAAUAUUCUUGCGGGAAUAUUGGAGUCAUCAGUGAGAUACCACUCUUAUAAUGUUAGAUUUCUAACUUUGUAUCAUUAUCUGGUCAAAGAACAGUCUCAGGCGGGCAGUUUGACUGGGGCGGUCGCCUCUCAAACGGUAACGGAGGCGCACAAAGGUUUCCUCUGAACGUGUAGAAAUCGUAUCUAGAGUGUAAAGGCAUAAGGAAGCUUGACUGUGAGACCUACAAGUCGAGCAGGGACGAAAGUCGGUCUUAGUGAUCUGACGGUGCUGAGUGGAAAGGCCGUCACUCAACGGAUAAAAGUUACUCUAGGAUAACAGGCUGAUCUCCCCCAAGAGUUCACAUCGACGGGGAGGUUUGGCACCUCGAUGUCGGCUCAUCGCAUCCUGGGGCGGUAGUACGUCCCAAGGGUUGGGCUGUUCGCCCAUGAAAGCGGUACGCGAGCUGGGUUCAGAACGUCGUGAGACAGUUCGGUCCAUAUCCGGUGUAGGCGUUAGAAUAUUGAGAGGAGCCUUCUUUAGUACGAGAGGACCGAGAAGGACAUACCUCUGGUGUACCAGUUAUCGUGCCAACGGUAAACGCUGGGUAGCUAUGUAUGGAGAGGAUAACCGCUGAAAGCAUCUAAGUGGGAAGCCCACCUCAAGAUAAGUA